RNAcentral lists this ribosomal RNA (253 nucleotides) under uncultured bacterium. RNAcentral describes it as "partial 16S ribosomal RNA". It matches the Rfam family "Bacterial small subunit ribosomal RNA", at positions 524 to 776 of the family's 1533-position model. The record is from RNAcentral.
UACGGAGGAUGCAAGCGUUAUCCGGAAUCAUUGGGCGUAAAGCGUCCGUAGGUGGCUUUUCAAGUCUGCCGUCAAAGACCGGGGCUUAACCCCAGAAAGGCGGUGGAAACUGAAUAGCUAGAGUGCAGUAGGGGUAGAGGGAAUUCCCGGUGUAGCGGUGAAAUGCGUAGAGAUCGGGAAGAACACCCGUGGCGAAGGCGGUUCUCUGGGACGGUACUGACGCUGAGACGCGAAAGCGUGGGGAGCGAACAGG